UGUGGGAGCGGGCUUGCUCGCGAAAGCGUCAGGUCAGCCAACACUGAUGUUGACUGACACAUCGCCUUCGCGAGCAAGCCCGCUCCCACA
Molecule: unclassified non-coding RNA, 90 nt
Filed under: Pseudomonas lini
Lineage: Bacteria; Pseudomonadati; Pseudomonadota; Gammaproteobacteria; Pseudomonadales; Pseudomonadaceae
Source: RNAcentral